CCAAUGGCUGUCUAGGCAUGCUGGGAGUUGUAGUCUGCAACAGCUGGGGGUCUGCAGUUUGGAAACCACUAAUAUAAAGUCUCAAUCUUUGUACAUUCUAGAGAUAAUUCCAGUUAAUCCAAUGGCUGUCCAGGCAUGCUGGGAGUUGUAGUCUGCAACAGCUGGGGGUCUGCAGUUUGGAAAGCACUGAUAUAAAGUCUCAAUCUUUGUACAUUUUAGAGAUGAUUCCAGUUACUCCAAUGGCUGUCUAGGCACGCAGGGAGUUGUAGUUUUGCAACAGCUGGAGGGUCGCAGUUUAGAAACCACUAAUAUAAAGUCUCAACCUUUGCACAUCUUAGAGAUGAUUCCAGUUAAUCCAACAGCUGUCCAGACAUGCUGGGAGUUGUAGUCUGCAAAAGCUGGAGGGUCGCAGUUUGGAAACCACUGAUAAAAAGUCUCAACCUUUGUACAUUCUAGAGAUGAUUCCAGUUACUCCAAUGGCUGUCUAGGCACGCAGGGAGUUGUAGUUUUGCAACAGCUGGAGGUCCACAGUUUGGAAACCAUUGAUAGAGAGUGACAGCCUUUGUACAUUUUUUAGAUGAUCCCAGUUAAUUCAAUGUCUGUCCGGGCAUGCUGGAAGUUGUAGUUUUGCAACAGCUGGGGGUACGCAGUUUAGAAACCACUCAUAUAAAGGCUCAACCUUUGUACAUUCUUGAAAUUAUUCCAGUUACUCCAACGCUGUCUAUGCAUGCUGGGAUUUGUAGUUCUGCAACAACUGGAGGUCCACAGUUAUGAAACCACUGAUAGAGAGUAACAGCCUGUGUACUUUCUAGAGAUGAUUACAGUUACUCCUACUGCUGUUUGGGCAUGCUGAGAGUUGUAGUACUGCAACAGCUGGAGGUCCACAAUUUGGAAACCAUUGAUAGAGAGUAACAACCUUUGUACAUUUUUUAGAUGAUUCCAGUUACUUAAUUGGCUGUCUGGGCAUGCUGGGAGUCGUAGUUCUGCAACAGCUGGAGGUCCUCAGUUUGGAAACCAUUGAUAAAGAGUCUCAACCUAUGUACAUUUUUUAGAUGAUUCCAGUUACUUCAACAGCUGUCCGGGCAUGCUGAGAGUUGUAGUAUUGCAACAGCUGGAGGUCCACAGUUUGGAGACCACUGAUACAGAGACUCAACCUUUGUACAUUCUUGAGAUGAUUCCAGUUACACCAACAGUUUUCCGGGCAACAGCUGGAGACAUAUGAGUCUCAAUACGUCAUAUAUCCAGAUAAAAGACCCGAGAAGCUUCUCUUAUAUAAAUCACGAUGUGCAUCUUCUUAGAUUGCUAGUGGUCCUUGAAGCCUUGAGAGCUCCAGUUCUACAAGGAUUUCCAUGGUGAAGACUGAGCUCUGCAGGACGGAUGUGAAAGUCUAUCUAAUGUGUGUUUAUGCAUAUUGAUGCCUUUCUGAGCCAAGUUAAUUCCUCUCCAUUGAAACACUCAUCAUACUUCUUACAAACCUUUUAUGAGAUUCAAGGUUUCCUGGUACGCGCGUCCUUCCCUCCCCCUCCGUAACGCUCAGGGGAUUUUCGAAGGCUACUCAGUUUAAUUAAAAUAACUGCAUCGUGUUAAUUGAUAUGACAAGGAACAUCAACAGAAAUAUCCAAUAAAGACAGACAGAAUUUCUGUACACCAGUUGUAAGUCAAUGAAAUGACAAUGAGCACAUUAAUAUAAAAGCUACUUAGUCAAUAGAAUAGUAAUAGGAUAGUAAGACUACUAGAGGGGAAAAAUAGCUUUGUGUGUCUAUUUUCAUACGGAACCCAGGGCGUUCUCACUUCUAAGGCUGCUUGAGUGUACAACAACUCAGUGGUUGAUAUAUUUGUUCUGUAUUUCAGAUUCACAGGAUAAUGAAGAUGGCUUUUGAGCGUACAAAGGACAAUAAAUGACUACUUUGCACUCAAUAAAUGCCAAGGCUUCAGGCAGCUGCAUCAGCACCAAACUGUGCUCUGAAAAAAAAAAAAAAAAAAGCUUAAUUAUCAUUAUAUGAUAGUAAAAAGCUGGUGGCAGUGUUAUUUAACCAAAUAAUCUCUCCCUCGUCUAGUCUCUGCGAAUAAAAUAGAAGAACGUCGUCUAUAUGUUAUGAUGGCGGAUCCUCUGAAGGUACGGGACAGCCGUUUAGGCUCGCUCGAUCUGAUCGAGAUGGUUGUUACAGUGGGGCCAUAAAUGUGUCAGAAGCAUCCAUUGAAAUAAUUGCAUUUGUUUUAUUAGUUAUUUAAUUGAAGAAUUCAUACAUUCUAUAAAAAACCAAAGUGCUGGCUGCAUUACAUCACCCCGUGACA
Long non-coding RNA from Hyla sarda, 2295 nucleotides. RefSeq lists it as uncharacterized. Lineage: Eukaryota; Metazoa; Chordata; Amphibia; Anura; Hylidae. The record is from RefSeq and is a predicted model, not a curated record. The transcript has 3 exons.